Molecule: long non-coding RNA, 1383 nt
Filed under: Papio anubis (olive baboon)
Lineage: Eukaryota; Metazoa; Chordata; Mammalia; Primates; Cercopithecidae
Description: lncRNA (ENSPANG00000038168.1)
Source: RNAcentral
GAUUUGUCAUUUGACAGGACCUCAAAUGCCAGAAAGUUUUGUCAGAUGGUGAUGUAUUACUCUAAAUACAUUCUCUCACAUUUUCCUCAGGGGAAAACAAAACAAAACAAAAAAACUGCAGAGACAAAGGAGAUGAAAGGAAAUGAGGACAAGAAAUAGAGGUUCACAAAAAAGAAGAAAACACAAUUUUCAAACUGAAUAAAAGCAAAUGGAACUGGAUUGACCAAGGGCUAUUUUAAAGACAGAGAUAUAUUCGUCUUUGACCACAUAAUUAUGCCCCUUAAGUUAUAGUUUCUGACAGAGAUAGUACUUGAUCUUUCUGAAGGCAUAAAUUGACUGUCUAAAAUACAAGGGACCAUGGCCGGGCGCGGUGGCUCAAGCCUGUAAUCCUAGCACUUUGGGAGGCCGAGAUGGGCGGAUCACGAGGUCAGGAGAUCGAGACCAUCCUGGCUAACCCAGUGAAAUCCCGUCUCUACUAAAAAAUACAAAAAACUAGCUGGGCGAGGUGGCGGGCGCCUGUAGUCCCAGCUACUCAGGAGGCUGAGGCAGGAGAAUGGCAUAAACCCGGGAGGCGGAGCUUGCAGUGAGCUGAGAUCCGGCCACUGCACUCCAGCCUGGGUGACAGAGCGGGACUCCAUCUCAAAAAUAAAUAAAUAAAUAAAUAAAAAUACAAGGGACCACAUUUCUCAUGUGACUAGUAAGUUGGUUCUUAACAGGUCAGAAAACGGUGUUCCAACAUUAUAGACAUGUUAGCAUCAUCAGGAUAAGUAUAUAACCUCUUAAGCUAACAGAAAUGGAGAGAGGGAAGGAAUAUUUAUUCAACACCUACUAUUAAUGCACUGGCUCAUCCAUGUUCUUUCACAUGUAUUGAAUCCUUUUUUUAUUUUUUUUAAGAUGGAGUCUCGCUCUGUCGCCAGGCUGGAGUGCAGUGGCGAGCUCCAACCUCCACCUCCCGGGUUCCAGUGAUUCUCCUGCCUCAGCCCCCAGAGUAGCUGGGGCUACAGGCGCCUGCCACCUCGCCCGGCUGAGGCAGGAGAAUGGUCUAAACCCGGGAGGCGGAGCUUGCAGUGAGCUGAGAUCCGGCCACUGCACUCCAGCCUGGGUGACAGAGCGAGACUCCGUCUCAAAAAAAAAAAAAAAAAACCUGCUAAUGGAGAAACUGUUCAGCAAAACAGGGCAGAUGAUCAUGAAGUCAUAAGUUUGAUUAGCAGGUUUCUUUUGUAAGUUUUCUUAAGUGCCCUCUUCCCAACAUCGUUACUUCUGUUUUCAUCUUAUGUUACGAAAUGCAUUCAACAGUUGAUAGAACUCAGUUUCAGUCUCUUGAUCUAAAAACAAACCAACCUAAUGUUGACUGCUUUAUGUGCUGAGUGAAAAAGAAACCCU